GCAGCAGCAUUACAAGACGUUCAUACUAUUGCCGUACAACACAGAAUUCUACUGGGUCCUGUUCUUUUUCGACUUGGACGCAUGCAGAGUCACUGUAUACGACUCAAUGAAUAAAGAGGAGAAGGUUUUUGACAAGGUCUUCCAACUGAUAGACAGGGCUUGGGAUCGGUUCCGUCAAUUGGUCCGCGGGACUUGGAAA
Non-coding RNA from Oryza sativa Japonica Group (Japanese rice), 199 nucleotides. Lineage: Eukaryota; Viridiplantae; Streptophyta; Magnoliopsida; Poales; Poaceae. The record is from RefSeq and is a predicted model, not a curated record.